UUCCGGUUGAUCCCGCCGGAGGCCACUGCUAUCGGUGUCCGAUUAAGCCAUGCGAGUCGUGAGGUGUAAGACCUCGGCGGACUGCUCAGUAACACGUGGAUAACCUGCCCAAAGGUUCGGGAUAACCCCGGGAAACUGGGGAUAAUACCGGAUGGAUUACCUGUGCUGGAAUGCUUGGUAGUUUAAAGGUGACGCCUUUGGAUGGGUCUGCGGCGGAUUAGGUUGACGCCGGUGUAAUGUACCGGCGUGCCUGUAAUCCGUACGGGUUGUGGGAGCAAGAGCCCGGAGAUGGAUUCUGAGACACGAAUCCAGGCCCUACGGGGCGCAGCAGGCGCGAAAACUCUACAAUGCAGGCAACUGCGAUAGGGGGACAUCGAGUGGCAUCCACCUUGGGUGUCUGUCCAGCCGUCUAAAAAACGGUUGUUAGC
This 428-nucleotide ribosomal RNA is filed under the name uncultured Methanocella sp. Its description in RNAcentral is "bacterial SSU rRNA". It matches the Rfam family "Archaeal small subunit ribosomal RNA", at positions 1 to 437 of the family's 1478-position model. The record is from RNAcentral. Lineage: Archaea; Methanobacteriati; Methanobacteriota; Methanomicrobia; Methanocellales; Methanocellaceae.